GAUGAAGAACGCAGCGAAAUGCGAUAAGUAAUGCGAAUUGCAGAAUUUCCGUGAGUCAUCGAAUCUUUGAACGAACAUUGCGCCCUUUGGUAUUCCUUAGGGCAUGCCUGUUCGAGCGUCAUUUAAACCUUCAAGCUCAGCUUGGUGUUGGGUGACUGUCCGCUUCACCGCGGACUCGCCUCAAAAUUAUUGGCGGCCGGUACAUUGGCUUCGAGCGCAGCAGAAACGCGAACUCGGGCCCGUCGUAUUGGCUCCCAGAAGCUAUCUUCACAAUUUUGACCUCGGAUCAGGUAGGGAUACCCGCUGAACUUAAGCAUAUCAAUAAGCGGAGGA
RNAcentral lists this unclassified non-coding RNA (333 nucleotides) under soil metagenome. RNAcentral's name for it is "partial contains 5.8S ribosomal RNA, internal transcribed spacer 2, and large subunit ribosomal RNA". The stretch from base 1 to 121 matches the Rfam family "5.8S ribosomal RNA", at positions 35 to 154 of the family's 154-position model. The record is from RNAcentral.